This is a long non-coding RNA of Acanthopagrus latus (yellowfin seabream), 595 nucleotides long. RefSeq lists it as uncharacterized. The record is from RefSeq and is a predicted model, not a curated record. NCBI's taxonomy places the organism in Eukaryota, Metazoa, Chordata, Actinopteri, Spariformes, Sparidae. The transcript is spliced from 2 exons.
CUCAAUGUGAAAACAUCAUCAUCAGCAGCAGCAUCAACGUCGUCAAAAAACAGAACAAACAUUAAUUCUGCAGCAGCCAAACAGAGUUCAACAGGUGUUGAUUGGUGAGCUGGUGCUCGUUGCCAUGACAAUGGUGAGUGCAGUCCUGAGGAUGAUGGGAAAUGUUUCUGUGUCGACUUUGACUCGGCCAAAAGAAAUCUUGAAGGAGACGAAGAAAACCAUCUACAGCAAACCUCCCCGAAACAAGAUCAGCGCUGCGCAAAGUUUCUUUGUCAUGUCUGUGUUCACGGUGGCCAUGUUGACCCCCGCUGCCUGGAUUCUUCAUCACCUGCCAGAGUACCGCCAGAGGGCCCGCCAGAGACCCAAAACCUGAACAUCAUCUUCAUCAUCUUCUUCUUCACCACGAACAGCUGGAGGAAGUUCACACAUCAACAUAUUAACAAUCAACAAAUAUUUCACACUAACAGUUUGUCAUGAAUAGAAAUCGUUUUGAAAUCUGCAAGUUCUCGAUAUUAAAAUGUGAACACAGUUUUAAUGAAGACAUCGUCACACCUGAACAGAGCUGUCACUUCAAAAUAAAAGCUUCCUGGCUCUU